GCGGGUGUGGCGGAAUUGGUAGACGCCCCGGAUUUAGGUUCCGGUGUCGCAAGACGUAAGGGUUCAAAUCCUUUCACCCGCACCA
Molecule: transfer RNA, 85 nt
Filed under: Rhizobium laguerreae
Lineage: Bacteria; Pseudomonadati; Pseudomonadota; Alphaproteobacteria; Hyphomicrobiales; Rhizobiaceae
Description: tRNA-Leu
Rfam family: tRNA
About the family: Transfer RNA (tRNA) molecules are approximately 80 nucleotides in length. Their secondary structure includes four short double-helical elements and three loops (D, anti-codon, and T loops).
Source: RNAcentral